RNAcentral lists this signal recognition particle RNA (98 nucleotides) under Caedibacter sp. 37-49. RNAcentral's name for it is "signal recognition particle sRNA small type". It matches the Rfam family "Bacterial small signal recognition particle RNA". From Rfam's summary of the family: The signal recognition particle (SRP) is a universally conserved ribonucleoprotein involved in the co-translational targeting of proteins to membranes. Archaeal SRP consists of a 7S RNA and homologues of the eukaryotic SRP19 and SRP54 proteins. In most bacteria, the SRP consists of a 4.5S RNA and the Ffh protein (a homologue of the eukaryotic SRP54 protein). The record is from RNAcentral. Lineage: Bacteria; Pseudomonadati; Pseudomonadota; Gammaproteobacteria; Thiotrichales; Fastidiosibacteraceae.
GAAGAUCAGGCUUGGACGUAAGGUUUUCGAACCCGGUCAGAUCUGGAAAGAAGCAGCCGUAGUAUUAUCUCUUGCGGGUUAAGAUGCUGGUCUUCCAC